Molecule: ribosomal RNA, 468 nt
Filed under: uncultured bacterium
Lineage: Bacteria
Description: partial 16S ribosomal RNA
Rfam family: Bacterial small subunit ribosomal RNA
Source: RNAcentral
GACGAACGCUGGCGGCGUGCUUAACACAUGCAAGUCGAACGGAAAGGCCCUGCUUUUGUGGGGUGCUCGAGUGGCGAACGGGUGAGUAACACGUGAGUAACCUGCCCUUGACUUUGGGAUAACUUCAGGAAACUGGGGCUAAUACCGGAUAGGAGCUCCUGCUGCAUGGUGGGGGUUGGAAAGGUUCGGCGGUUGGGGAUGGACUCGCGGCUUAUCAGCUUGUUGGUGGGGUAGUGGCUUACCAAGGCUUUGACGGGUAGCCGGCCUGAGAGGGUGACCGGCCACAUUGGGAAUGAGAUACGGCCCAGACUCCUACGGGAGGCAGCAGUGGGGAAUAUUGCACAAUGGGCGGAAGCCUGAUGCAGCAACGCCGCGUGCGGGAUGACGGCCUUCGGGUUGUAAACCGCUUUCGCCUGUGACGAAGCGUGAGUGACGGUAAUGGGUAAAGAAGCACCGGCUAACUACGUG